AGAGUUUGAUCCUGGCUCAGGAUGAACGCUGGCGGCGUGCCUAACACAUGCAAGUCGAACGGGAAUCUUCGGAUUCUAGUGGCGGACGGGUGAGUAACGCGUAAGAAUCUAACUUCAGGACGGGGACAACAGUUGGAAACGACUGCUAAUACCCGAUGUGCCGAAAGGUGAAACCUAAUUGGCCUGAAGAAGAGCUUGCGUCUGAUUAGCUAGUUGGUGGGGUAAAGGCCUACCAAGGCGACGAUCAGUAGCUGGUCUGAGAGGAUGAGCAGCCACACUGGGACUGAGACACGGCCCAGACUCCUACGGGAGGCAGCAGUGGGGAAUUUUCCGCAAUGGGCGAAAGCCUGACGGAGCAACGCCGCGUGAGGGAGGAAGGUCUUUGGAUUGUAAACCUCUUUUCUCAAGGAAGAAGUUCUGACGGUACUUGAGGAAUCAGCCUCGGCUAACUCCGUGCCAGCAGCCGCGGUAAUACGGGGGAGGCAAGCGUUAUCCGGAAUUAUUGGGCGUAAAGCGUCCGCAGGUGGUCAGCCAAGUCUGCCGUCAAAUCAGGUUGCUUAACGACCUAAAGGCGGUGGAAACUGGCAGACUAGAGAGCAGUAGGGGUAGCAGGAAUUCCCAGUGUAGCGGUGAAAUGCGUAGAGAUUGGGAAGAACAUCGGUGGCGAAAGCGUGCUACUGGGCUGUAUCUGACACUCAGGGACGAAAGCUAGGGGAGCGAAAGGGAUUAGAUACCCCUGUAGUCCUAGCCGUAAACGAUGGAUACUAGGCGUGGCUUGUAUCGACCCGAGCCGUGCCGAAGCUAACGCGUUAAGUAUCCCGCCUGGGGAGUACGCACGCAAGUGUGAAACUCAAAGGAAUUGACGGGGGCCCGCACAAGCGGUGGAGUAUGUGGUUUAAUUCGAUGCAACGCGAAGAACCUUACCAAGACUUGACAUGUCGCGAACCCUGGUGAAAGCUGGGGGUGCCUUCGGGAGCGCG
Molecule: ribosomal RNA, 980 nt
Filed under: uncultured bacterium
Lineage: Bacteria
Description: bacterial SSU rRNA
Rfam family: Bacterial small subunit ribosomal RNA
Source: RNAcentral